This 487-nucleotide ribosomal RNA is filed under the name uncultured Desulfovibrio sp. Its description in RNAcentral is "bacterial SSU rRNA". It matches the Rfam family "Bacterial small subunit ribosomal RNA", at positions 898 to 1382 of the family's 1533-position model. The record is from RNAcentral. Lineage: Bacteria; Pseudomonadati; Thermodesulfobacteriota; Desulfovibrionia; Desulfovibrionales; Desulfovibrionaceae.
AACUUAAAGGAAGUUGACGGGGCCCGCACAAGCGGUGGAGUAUGUGGUUUUAAUUCGAUGCAACGCGAAGAACCUUACCUAGGUUUGACAUCCGGAAGACCUUCCCGAAAAGGAAGGGUGCCCUUCGGGGAAUUCCGAGACAGGUGCUGCAUGGCUGUCGUUAGCUCGUGCCGUGAGGUGUUGGGUUAAGUCCCGCAACGAGCGCAACCCUAUUGCCAGUUGCUACCAGGUAAUGCUGGGCACUCUGGUGAGACUGCCCCGGUUAACGGGGAGGAAGGUGGGGACGACGUCAAGUCAUCAUGGCCCUUACGCCUAGGGCUACACACGUACUACAAUGGCGCAUACAAAGGGCAGCGAUACCGCGAGGUGGAGCCAAUCCCAAAAAGUGCGUCCCAGUCCGGAUUGCAGUCUGCAACUCGACUACAUGAAGUUGGAAUCGCUAGUAAUUCGAGAUCAGCAUGCUCGGGUGAAUGCGUUCCCGGGCCUU